This 500-nucleotide ribosomal RNA is filed under the name uncultured bacterium. RNAcentral's name for it is "partial 16S ribosomal RNA". It matches the Rfam family "Bacterial small subunit ribosomal RNA", at positions 30 to 523 of the family's 1533-position model. The record is from RNAcentral.
AUUGAACGCUGGCGGCAUGCCUUACACAUGCAAGUCGAACGGUAACGGGUCCUUCGGGAUGCCGACGAGUGGCGAACGGGUGAGUAAUAUAUCGGAACGUGCCUAGUAGUGGGGGAUAACUGCUCGAAAGAGCAGCUAAUACCGCAUACGACCUGAGGGUGAAAGGGGGGGAUCGCAAGACCUCUCGCUAUUGGAGCGGCCGAUAUCAGAUUAGCUAGUUGGUGGGGUAAAGGCCUACCAAGGCAACGAUCUGUAGUUGGUCUGAGAGGACGACCAGCCACACUGGGACUGAGGCACGGCCCAGACGCCUACGGGAGGCAGCAGUGGGGAAUUUUGGACAAUGGGCGCAAGCCUGAUCCAGCAAUGCCGCGUGCAGGAAGAAGGCCUUCGGGUUGUAAACUGCUUUUGUCAGGGAAGAAAUCUUCUGGGCUAAUACCCCGGGAGGAUGACGGUACCUGAAGAAUAAGCACCGGCUAACUACGUGCCAGCAGCAGCCGCGG